This 497-nucleotide ribosomal RNA is filed under the name uncultured bacterium. RNAcentral's name for it is "partial 16S ribosomal RNA". It matches the Rfam family "Bacterial small subunit ribosomal RNA", at positions 28 to 507 of the family's 1533-position model. The record is from RNAcentral.
GAUGAACGCUGGCGGCGUGCCUAAUACAUGCAAGUCGAGCGAACAGACGCUGAGCUUGCCCCUCACACGUUAGCGGCGGACGGGUGAGUAACACGUGGAUAACCUACCUAUAACACUCGGAUAACUUCGGGAAACCGUAGCUAAUACCGGAUAAUAUAUUGAACCACAUGAUUCAAUAUUGCAAGACGGUUUUGCUCUCACUUAUAGAUGGAUCCGCGCCGCAUUAGCUAGUUGGUAAGGUAACGGCUUACCAAGGCGACGAUGCGUAGCCGACCUGAGAGGGUGAUCGGCCACACUGGAACUGAGACACGGUCCAGACUCCUACGGGAGGCAGCAGUAGGGAAUCUUCCGCAAUGGGCGAAAGUCUGACGGAGCAACGCCGCGUGAGUGAUGAAGGUCUUCGGAUCGUAAAACUCUGUUAUUAGGGAAGAACAAAUGUGUAAGUAACUAUGCACGUCUUGACGGUACCUAAUCAGAAAGCCACGGCUAACUACGUG